GAUGAACGCUAGCUACAGGCUUAACACAUGCAAGUCGAGGGGUCUUGAGGGAGCUUGCUCCUGAUAGACGACCGGCGCACGGGUGAGUAACGCGUAUCCAACCUGCCCUUCAUAUUGGGAUAGCCUUCCGAAAGGGAGAUUAAUACCGAAUAACAUAUCAGAAUUGCAUGAUAUUGAUAUGAAAGAUCCGUCGAUGAAGGAUGGGGAUGCGUGACAUUAGAUAGUAGGCGGGGUAACGGCCCACCUAGUCUACGAUGUCUAGGGGUUCUGAGAGGAAGGUCCCCCACACUGGAACUGAGACACGGUCCAGACUCCUACGGGAGGCAGCAGUGAGGAAUAUUGGUCAAUGGUCGGAAGACUGAACCAGCCAAGUAGCGUGAAGGAUGAAGGUUCUAUGGAUUGUAAACUUCUUUUAUACGGGAAUAAAACACCUUACGUGUAGGGUCUUGUAUGUACCGUAUGAAUAAGCAUCGGCUAACUCCGUGCCAGCAGCCG
RNAcentral lists this ribosomal RNA (495 nucleotides) under uncultured bacterium. RNAcentral describes it as "bacterial SSU rRNA". It matches the Rfam family "Bacterial small subunit ribosomal RNA", at positions 28 to 517 of the family's 1533-position model. The record is from RNAcentral.